AAAACACAAAAAAUACCUGACAUGCCUUCAACAAAAAAUAAAAAAGAUGAAUCUGUGUCGACAAAUAGAAUAACUUUUAAAAAGCUGAAAGUAUUUUAUUACCAGCUGCCUGACCAAAAAGACAGAACGUGCUUCUAUUUUCCUGUAGCCACAAGGCCUUGCAAAGUGUUGACACUCCUUGAACUUUUCCAUCACUACCACAAAUUUGAAUAAACACUGUGAGCUGGACCAGCACAGAUUAAAGGAUACUGGAAAUGUUUGCAAAACAAAUCUAAAAGUAUUUUAUGCUGAUUUAGUUUUAUUUUUUUGUUAAAUCUAUCACUGAGUACUUGUGUGAGAUUUAUUCAGCUGUAGUAACAUAUUUAUUUUAAGGCUUUGAACAGAAAACAAAAAACAUUUAAACACAAUAUGAAGAAAUUGAGGUGUGGUUCAAAACAUGACUGAAAACAUUUACUUUCAAGUAUUCUUCUCCUUAAAGCUGCGCAUUAAGAAGAAAAUCAUGGGACUAAAUAAAAUAACUGACAUCAGCAUGUUUUAUUUCCCAAAACGCAUCCUGAAGCAGCUCCCUGAAAUCAGCUGUUCUCUGAUCAGGCGGAACAUUUCCAUGAAAACUCAAAGCCGCUUUUUAACAGUAGAUCGCACCUCAAACAAGGAUUUGUGAGCACUAACCUGUCGAGGAAAAUGUCAGGCAGUGGCGGGUAGGUGCGCAUGUCAGGCACCCUUUCGUGGACUAUGACCAUGACGAAGGACGUGAACCCGAA
This is a long non-coding RNA of Xiphophorus couchianus (Monterrey platyfish), 761 nucleotides long. RefSeq lists it as uncharacterized. The record is from RefSeq and is a predicted model, not a curated record. NCBI's taxonomy places the organism in Eukaryota, Metazoa, Chordata, Actinopteri, Cyprinodontiformes, Poeciliidae. The transcript has 2 exons.